This 434-nucleotide ribosomal RNA is filed under the name uncultured bacterium. Its description in RNAcentral is "partial 16S ribosomal RNA". It matches the Rfam family "Bacterial small subunit ribosomal RNA", at positions 29 to 507 of the family's 1533-position model. The record is from RNAcentral.
AGCGAACGCUGGCGGCAGGCCUAACACAUGCAAGUCGAACGAACCCUUCGGGGUAAGUGGCGGUCGGGUGAGUAACACGUGGGAACGUGCCUUUAGGUACGGAAUAAUUCAGGGAAACUUGUGCUAAUACCGAAUGUGUCCUUCGGGGGAAAGAUUCAUCGUCUUUAGAGAGGCCCGCGUCUGUUUAGCCAGUUGGUUGUGGUAAUGGCUCACCAGGGCGACGAUCAGUAGCUGGUCUGAGAGGAUGAUCAGCCACAUUGGGACUGAGACACAGCGCAAAAUAUUGCGCGAGGCAGGAGUGCGGGAUCUUGCGAAACCGGCGAAAUCCUGACGGAGCCAUGCCGCGUGAAUGAUGAAGGUCUUAGGAUUGUAAAGUUCUUUCACCGGCGACGAUAAUGACGGUACCCAGAGAAGAAGCCCCGGCUAACUUCGUG